UCUAGGAUGCACGUUUCAAGACCAUUUCACGAGUCUUCACAGUGACCUGAUGUGCUGUUUCUUCAUCAUAGGUGGUGUAUUCCACACUGUGGGCAUCCCAGCAUAAUCUCCAUGUGGUCCCAUGUGGUAAAGGGUUAUCAGUCUUCUUUUCAAUACCCUGCCUACUCUGUCCUCAUAGAAGCACUUACAAUGACGGUCAGAAAUGGCUUUUGACUUCAUGACUUCUUAACAAAUAAAAAUAUAAAUGGUCCUAAACAUUGCUAAUAGGGCAUCAAUAAACAUCAGCUGGGACCUAAUUUCUGAGAACAUUUGGGCAUCUUGGGCCUAUUUAGUUCCUGGGUGCUGUUCAAACACACGUAAGGCACCAUAGUGGUGUUGUGGAACUCAUGCAAAGGGAACUGCUAGAGGUUGUGCCAUGAGGACCUGUGAGACAAGGAGUGAACUGCUGGGCUCACGGCUCUGUCCAGUGCUAUAACCACUAGAGGACACUGCCUCAUUGUUACUGGGGAAAUUAAUCAUUGCACGUUUAAAACUGCCAAAUUGCAGAGGUCUUCCUUCUGCUGGCUUAACUUACUCUCAGCAACUAUUUAUUUAUUUGUUUUGUGCCCUGGCUAUUUACAGUGCUCCCAUAUGGUCUGGUUCUACUUUAAGAGCUGAAUCAAUGCCCAGAGAAAGGCAGCUCUGCUGUUCUUCCCCAGGUGAAAACAAAUGCAAUGAGACAACUUAUUGCUCAGUGUCUCUGAGAAAGCAGGGCCAUGCAACAGACUGAUUUGCUGAGCCCACUCAUCUAUGAGCAGUCAGAUCCUACUUCUUGUUUUGAUCCAUUCUGGGUUCCCUAAGCCUUGGCCUUUGUUAUGAGGGCUGCCAUCAAGGCCUGAGUGGGAAGGUGGGCUGCUGCUCAGACCCUGCCUCAUAGGCAGCUCUGUGGCAUCACCUCCAUGCAGUGUGUGAGAGGGAAUAGGAAGGACAUGCACGUGUGGGAUUCCCCGUGAAGAUCAGGCUGGGGAUGGCAGAGAUGGGAUGAUGGCUUCACACUUUAUCAGCACAUGGUGUUGGUGUCUGGCAGAGAUGCAGCACCACCAUGUGUGUGACGCCUGGCCUUGUGUGUGUGUCCAGCUUGUGGAGGCACUGGGGGCACAGCUUUACAUCCUUUGGGAAGGAAGAAGGUGCAAUUUUUUUUCUCCUGUUUUCACCUCAGAUAACUUUAACAGCUUCCAAAGUUGGCUGUCUGGCAAACAGCAUUUUUUUUUCCCCCUGUAUUUGGAGCCAAAUGGGAAUACAGAGACAUUUCAGGGAAAACUGACAGAAUUUGCUGCUCCUUUCAUUGACUCCAGUAAUUAUAAACUGAUCCCAUGGUAGCAGCAGGACUGCAUCUAGACUUUAAAUACCAUGAUUACAUUCACAGAACUGCUCCAACAAUGAGGAAUAUCUCAAAAAGCAGUAAAUAUUCUUGUGCUCAAUCCUACAGCUCAUUCCCGUUGUACCGCAAACUUACCGAGUUCGUUCAUCUUUCCUCAUGAAUCAGAGAAAUGCAUCUCCUCCAAGAGCUGCCUAUUUUCUUGUAUACUGUGCAUCACUUCUCCUGCAGAUUGGAAAGAGAGUCUAGGAAGGCUGCAGCUGCUGCUGAAGUGGAAGCACAUGGGAAAAUGACUCACCUCCCAGGGGCUAGACAUGGAUUUUCAACCCAGCAAAGCACAGGAAAAAUGACAUGAAGGUGGAGCGUCCCACUACUCGAGGAACAAGAUGUCAUGGCAAAUAAGUGCUUCAAGUCUGGUCUAUUCUUUAACAGAGUGGUAGGCUGUGAAGAUCCAAAGUACAAGCCCUUUACUCUGGGAACCAUUGCCAAGGAGAUGAUUAUUCAUUAACGAUAUAAUCUUUGACCUGGAAGCCCUGUGCUUUGAGCACAGUCUGUGAAGCAAUAGGGCCCUGGGGACAACCACAUGCGUGUUUGAAGCCCAGCACCGCAGGGAGGUGAGGGGUGCUGACACCAGGUUUUGAAUAGGAUGAUUGGUUUAAGGUAAGUGUCCUGAUCUGCAGGGCCAUAUUAAAGUACCUUCAAGUGUAGCAGAACUUGAACGCAUCCCUUUCUGAGGGGGGAACCUGGGAUGUGCAGAAACAUGUAAGGGCUGGUGCUGUGGUUCUUGCCUAUCCCAGGGCUAGAUUUCAUCUUGCUCUUGUAUUCACAUUCAUGGUAGUAACUGUACAAAUUAAUGACUCUUUAGCAAUAAGGAUUGGAAGCAGUGCCUCCUCAUAGCUUGAGUCUUAGAAGAAUGACUCAUUCUAGAAGGAGACUGAUAAUAUCUGUCAGCAUUGCAGCCUUUUCCUGCAAUGAAGCAGGUUCAUAUUUGAACAUUUGGCGUGGUCUCUAAAUUUUUCACUUCUCAGAAAAAGGAUCCAAUCUAAUUUUGAUGUUUUUAUACAGUAGCAAUCCUCUGUUCAUUUCAAGAAUCUGCUCUUUUUAUUCCCGUGACUAAUUGUUCAUCCACUCCCUGUUGACAAAUGCUGGUUAGUGUGGUUGGUGGGAGGAAUUCAAGGAAACUAUGAAUUGUGGCUUGUCUCUUGUUGGCUCUUCACUCUGUAGUCCAUCUGGUAGACAAAAUUCCUCAGUGUAGUGUGCAAGAGAUGAGAAUGCCUUUGUCCUGGGCAGCACCACAACCACUUCAAGGCAUGCACAUGGCAUGUGGGUCUCCCUGCUGCAGACACCACAGGAGAGAAGGGCUGAAGACCAUUUGUAGAACAAAAGCAUUUGCCUGCACUGUAAUCUGAAUUCAGUUUGAUAGGUAGCUUGGUUGGAGGUGACUGAAAAGAAGUAAGAGUGCUCCUAAAGAUACUAAGCCUCUUGUCCCGUACUGGGGCCAUGCUGAUAAUCAGGAAUGCAACAAACAAAGCUUCUUCCCCUGGCGUUUUUCUGUAUCCUUUGCCUGUUUUCCCACCACUGGAAAAAAACCUGUGAAAGCCUUCUAAUUGUUACAAACACAACACCAACAGCUCCCUUGUGCACUGGUAAAAUGUGUUGAUACCACCUGAUUCACUGGGAGUUGCUUGGAAUGAACUUGGGAUCUUGGGAUUUCUAAUGGCUGUGUGGGGUGUUAGCUUCAUGGACUUCCAGCUUCAUACCACAACAUUGAAGUAGAAGCCUUGCAGGCAUUUCAUGAGCUACUAACUCUAAAGAAAGUAUAUCAUUUUAUUUUUUUUUUUAAUCAUAAGGGCUUUUCUCUCAUAUGUUUCUCUUCCCCCAGGUACAAUGUAUUUAAUAUAAAACUAGAUGACAACAUGUAGCCCAAAGGUUGGUGCUGAAUGCUGUCCUGUAUUCUGGCAGACCUUCUGUGUACCCAUACAUGUGCAGGUCAGGCUGGUACACUUGCACAUGAUAUCCUUUGAAAAACUGUUGUGCUGUGCUUUUGCUCUUUCUAGUGGAUCCCACCAUAGUAUUAAAUAUGAGAGACACGAAUCCCACCAUUAUGUCAACAUUACCAAUCAAUGAGAAAAUCAAUGGCACAUAUUGCAUCU
This is a non-coding RNA of Coturnix japonica (Japanese quail), 3510 nucleotides long. The record is from RefSeq and is a predicted model, not a curated record. Lineage: Eukaryota; Metazoa; Chordata; Aves; Galliformes; Phasianidae.